This 891-nucleotide long non-coding RNA is filed under the name Olea europaea subsp. europaea. Lineage: Eukaryota; Viridiplantae; Streptophyta; Magnoliopsida; Lamiales; Oleaceae. The record is from RNAcentral.
CACAAACUCUACCGUCACCACUGCUACUUACAACCACCCUCACCCUGUCGCCACCCCCACAACAACACCAUCACCAACGCCGCGACACCACCACCAACAAAAUUGUCGACACCACCAAACACACCAAAAAGAACCACCUCGCCUUUUGAACCACACAUCACCGCCUGAACCAAACCACCAACAAGAACUACCACCGUGUCCUUCACCACACCACCACAACCUCCAAUAAAACACCGACCAAAAAAUGUCGACCACUACAGCUACUGGACCGCACCACACCUCCACACAACCAAGACGAACGGGAAAAUCGACCACCACCACACAACUAACAACACGAACGACAGUGCACAACUCACCACCACACAACCAAGACGAAUGAGAAAAUCAACCACCAUCGCACAACCAACAACACAAACGGCAGUGCACCACCACACAACCAAGACGAACAGCUCCCACAGCCAGCACAUCAGAAAACUACCACCCGCAGAUCAGAAUAUUCACCCUAGGUAUCUUCUACGCCCUACACAGCCUCGCCAAAAGGGCCCUAAAUAAGCUUCGCUCCAAGGCUUGCCCUAACACCCAGAUCCACCGCCACUUCAUUUAGCUUCAGGGGGCUCUUUUCUAUUACGAACCUGAUUGCUCAAAAUAAAUCCAUAGCAUUCAACCUCUCUAAAUUCGUCGCCAACGAGGCUGAGUGAUGCUAUUGCUUCCCAUCAUCAUCGACGGUGGCAACGGAAACUCCGGUGGAGAUUUGAUAGAGAGAGAGAGAGAGAAUGUAAGGAAAAAAAAUGAUUAAGGUUGUGUUUCGGCUGGGUCGAGUGGGUAAAUAAUGAAAACCUGACUUUUGCUUAAAUAAAUUACCCACUUGAAUUUUGAAUUAGAAUAUUUAAA